This 730-nucleotide ribosomal RNA is filed under the name uncultured bacterium. Its description in RNAcentral is "bacterial SSU rRNA". It matches the Rfam family "Bacterial small subunit ribosomal RNA", at positions 771 to 1501 of the family's 1533-position model. The record is from RNAcentral.
AACAGGAUUAGAUACCCUGGUAGUCCACGCUGUAAACGAUGUCGACUUGGAGGUUGUUCCCUUGAGGAGUGGCUUCCGGAGCUAACGCGCUAAGUCGACCGCCUGGGGAGUACGGCCGCAAGGUUAAAACUCAAAUGAAUUGACGGGGGCCCGCACAAGCGGUGGAGCAUGUGGUUUAAUUCGAUGCAACGCGAAGAACCUUACCUACUCUUGACAUCCAGAGAACUUAGCAGAGAUGCUUUGGUGCCUUCGGGAACUCUGAGACAGGUGCUGCAUGGCUGUCGUCAGCUCGUGUUGUGAAAUGUUGGGUUAAGUCCCGCAACGAGCGCAACCCUUAUCCUUUGUUGCCAGCGGUCCGGCCGGGAACUCAAAGGAGACUGCCAGUGAUAAACUGGAGGAAGGUGGGGAUGACGUCAAGUCAUCAUGGCCCUUACGAGUAGGGCUACACACGUGCUACAAUGGCAUAUACAAAGAGAAGCGACCUCGCGAGAGCAAGCGGACCUCAUAAAGUAUGUCGUAGUCCGGAUUGGAGUCUGCAACUCGACUCCAUGAAGUCGGAAUCGCUAGUAAUCGUGGAUCAGAAUGCCUCGGUGAAUACGUUCCCGGGCCCUGUACACACCGCCCGUCACACCAUGGGAGUGGGUUGCAAAAGAAGUAGGUAGCUUAACCUUCGGGAGGGCGCUUACCACUUUGUGAUUCAUGACUGGGGUGAAGUCGUAACAAGGUAACC